UACGUAGGAGACUAGCGUUGUCCGGAAUUACUGGGUGUAAAGCGCGCGUAGGCGGCAUACCAAGUCUGUUGUGAAAUCCCCCGGCUCAACUGGGCGGGGUCAAUGGAAACUGGUAAGCUGGAGGACGGUAGAGGCGAGUGGAAUUCCCGGUGUAGUGGUGAAAUGCGUAGAGAUCGGGAGGAACACCUGUGGCGAAGGCGGCUAUCUGGACGGUUUCUGACGCUAAGACGCGAAAGCGUGGGGAGCAAACAGG
This 253-nucleotide ribosomal RNA is filed under the name uncultured bacterium. RNAcentral describes it as "partial 16S ribosomal RNA". It matches the Rfam family "Bacterial small subunit ribosomal RNA", at positions 524 to 776 of the family's 1533-position model. The record is from RNAcentral.